CAAUCCCAUCAGAAACCAGACCACACAUCUGGACAUCAGCAAACUCUGUCAACCAUGUUCAGGAAUCUGAGACGGCAGUGAUGAACACGUGUUUCAGCUCUGAACAAUGAUUAAACUUUCUCUGAUUCUAUUUCUCACAAAUUAUGCUCUGAUCACAACAAUUUCAUCUGCCUUUUACACUUUAUUACUGAUGUAUAUAUAAUGUGAUUUUAUUUUUUUUAUAUUUCCUCUAAAUGAUCUUCCUCUAAUGAGUUUAUUGUGAUCCUGAAUGAAGAAUACUCUAGAUUAUCAAAUAAUGCUUUCUUUAGUAUGAACAUGUUUUCCCCCCUCUCUCCACAUCCGCCUGCCCUUAUUAUUUAAUAUAUACUUACUAUUAAUUGUCAUUUGUUUACUCUGUUAACUAAUUUAUUAAUGCAUUGCCUCAUUUUUAUUUAUUUAUGGAAUCAUAACAUCGGGUUUUGGGAAAACAAUAACCAAUGUAAAAUGUGUUUAUUUU
Molecule: long non-coding RNA, 496 nt
Organism: Carassius auratus (goldfish)
Lineage: Eukaryota; Metazoa; Chordata; Actinopteri; Cypriniformes; Cyprinidae
Exons: 2
Source: RefSeq, a predicted model, not a curated record